UCAGCACAAAGAGGCAACCUCAAGGACCCAAACCAGGGUUCAUGGUUGAAGGUGCUACAUUGGAAACUGUUACUCCCAUACCAUAUGACGUGGUCAACGAUUUGAAGGGAGGCUAUUGAUUUUACUUUGUUUCUGAGCUUGUUUUUUUCUCCCUAUGUGCUGUUAUGACGUUGAGACUACUAGUUUGUUACUCCCAUACCAUAUGACGUGGUCAACGAUUUGAAGGGAGGCUAUUGAUUUUACUUUGUUUCUGAGCUUGUUUUUUUCUCCCUAUGUGCUGUUAUGAAGUUGAGACUACUAGUUAUUCUCGGCAUCAGUUGCAAAUUUGCAUUUUAAUUCCAAAUUUUGUUUACAAUUUUAGUAGUAAUGGUGGUGAAGAAUAUCUAUUUACUGCCUAAUUUGUUAAGUUGAGUUUGCCAAUAUUUUGGUGUUUCAGCAU
Molecule: long non-coding RNA, 439 nt
Filed under: Nicotiana benthamiana
Lineage: Eukaryota; Viridiplantae; Streptophyta; Magnoliopsida; Solanales; Solanaceae
Description: long non-coding RNA (NBEN_LNC021755)
Source: RNAcentral